This 490-nucleotide ribosomal RNA is filed under the name uncultured bacterium. RNAcentral describes it as "partial 16S ribosomal RNA". It matches the Rfam family "Bacterial small subunit ribosomal RNA", at positions 30 to 507 of the family's 1533-position model. The record is from RNAcentral.
AUUGAACGCUGGCGGCAGGCCUAACACAUGCAAGUCGAACGGUAACAGGAAGACUCUUGCUUCUUUGCUGACGAGUGGCGGACGGGUGAGUAAUGUCUGGGAAACUGCCUGAUGGAGGGGGAUAACUACUGGAAACGGUAGCUAAUACCGCAUAACGUCGCAAGACCAAAGAGGGGGACCUUCGGGCCUCUUGCCAUCGGAUGUGCCCAGAUGGGAUUAGCUAGUAGGUGGGGUAACGGCUCACCUAGGCGACGAUCCCUAGCUGGUCUGAGAGGAUGACCGGCCACACUGGAACUGAGACACGGUCCAGACUCCUACGGGAGGCAGCAGUGGGGAAUAUUGCACAAUGGGCGCAAGCCUGAUGCAGCAAUGCCGCGUGUAUGAAGAAGGCCUUCGGGUUGUAAAGUACUUUCAGCGGGGAGGAAGGGAGUAAAGUUAAUACCUUUGCUCAUUGACGUUACCCGCAGAAGAAGCACCGGCUAACUCCGUG